Molecule: long non-coding RNA, 965 nt
Filed under: Olea europaea subsp. europaea
Lineage: Eukaryota; Viridiplantae; Streptophyta; Magnoliopsida; Lamiales; Oleaceae
Source: RNAcentral
UUUUAAGCCACGACCAGGGAGAGAAAUUUAUUAACAACUAAAGUAAGAUACAACUUUACAAGGCCGAAAGGAUUUUUGAAUUGUCGUAGAAACCAUAUUUAAAGUAGAAGUUGUAGAGAGUUUCGACAAGGCAACAAAAGAGAACUCUUCAGAGCGCUCUCCAUAGAUCAAAAAUACAGAUUUACUUCAUGUUAUUUUCUCAUGAACUUUAUAUCUACAACCUUCUUUUGUAUUUUAAGAAGAAACUCUGCAAUUGGUACAAACAAGUACUGUAAAUUUGUGUGUUUUGGCAUCAACCAUAAUUCGACUGUCAAUACGACAAACAAGGACCCCUGCUAGAAAGAGCAUUACACUGUACUAUACAAGAUACAAAGGAAACUCCAACAAUAAUUUGUAAAGAUACAGUGGCAAACAAAAAAAAUGAAGACGGGAACUGACUAUGGGCUCCAAGCUGGGUUACAGCAUCAACAAAUCUUUCGUGGAGCUCCAAAGUCCACCUUAGUCCGGGCUUUGGAUCCGUCGUGAGAACAACACAUGGAUCCCCAACCAAGUUGGUGCCAUCAAAUGGAUACUCCCUUCCACUCCCAUCCAAUGCCAAACUGUGUAUGGGCAUAGCAGAAUACAUUUUUCAAUCCCUAAUCGAUUUUUUCUUGAAAAAUUUUCAAAAGGUGAGGGUAAGGGCCCGAAAACAGGAAAUGGGUCGGGCCUUAUAGGGCCCGUGACAGUUGGAAUGGUUUGGGAACGGCAAACAACGUAAAUAUAGCUUAAUUCUAUAAACGAUACAAAAAUGUUCUGUUGUGUACUGUCAUUGUCUGUUUUUUUCAACAUUUUUUAACAUUUCGACUCUGUCUUCGUCUCAAUCUAGCUUUUAUAGGUGCAGUCUAGGAUGACUGCUUUGUGACUGGGCUAGAGAGUAGAGAGAGAGGGAGGAGGGACGAGAGCGAGAGAGCCUUGCUGGCGUUUUG